UGGGUUAGUGUGUUGGGGCGGAGAGCAGGUCGCGCAUCUCCCUGAACAACCAAGGCACAUCCAGCACUAACAAGGGCUGGAAGAAGGAUUUUUAUGGGCUUUGCUUUUGGAGGUUUUAUCUCCACUCCCUUCCAAGGCUUCCCAGGACCUCAAAGAAUAAAGCAGCAUCUUGAAGACAGUGGUGGGUUACCUCCGGUUUGCACUGGUUCUAUAGAACCGGUAGUAAAACUGGCGAGAGGCUCCGCCCACUGACCCUGACGUCAUAAAAGCGCUUCUGCGCAUGCUUGUCCCUGUUGCGAACCGGUAGUAAAGCUAGUAAGUCCUACUGCCUGAAAAAGUUUGAAAUUUCUCUAGAAGAUGAAACAUGUCCCACUUUUCAAAUCAAGAUUCACAUCUGUCUUCUGAAUUAUUUGCUGGGAAUAUUUCAAAAGUAGGUGAGGGAAAGAAAAGAAAUGGAUGGGAAUGAGAUGAAAACAUUAGAAGUCAAUUGAAUAUAUCAGGUAUCUAAUCAUU
Molecule: long non-coding RNA, 513 nt
Organism: Pantherophis guttatus
Lineage: Eukaryota; Metazoa; Chordata; Lepidosauria; Squamata; Colubridae
Source: RefSeq, a predicted model, not a curated record